GUAGGUGGCAAGCGUUGUCCGGAAUUAUUGGGAGUAAAGCGCGCGCAGGCGGCUCUUUAAGUCUGAUGUGAAAGCCCACGGCUCAACCGUGGAGGGUCAUUGGAAACUGGAGAACUUGAGUACAGAAGAGGAAAGCGGAAUUCCACGUGUAGCGGUGAAAUGCGUAGAGAUGUGGAGGAACACCAGUGGCGAAGGCGGCUUUCUGGUCUGUAACUGACGCUGAGGCGCGAAAGCGUGGGGAGCAAACAGGAUUAGAUACCCUGGUAGUCCACGCCGUAAACGAUGAGUGCUAAGUGUUAGGGGGUUUUCCGCCCCCCUUAGUGCUGCAGCUAACGCAUUAAGCACUCCGCCUGGGAGUACGGCCGCAAGGCUG
This 373-nucleotide ribosomal RNA is filed under the name uncultured organism. Its description in RNAcentral is "partial 16S ribosomal RNA". It matches the Rfam family "Bacterial small subunit ribosomal RNA", at positions 527 to 896 of the family's 1533-position model. The record is from RNAcentral.